Odocoileus virginianus texanus is the source of this 830-nucleotide non-coding RNA. NCBI's taxonomy places the organism in Eukaryota, Metazoa, Chordata, Mammalia, Artiodactyla, Cervidae. The record is from RefSeq and is a predicted model, not a curated record.
CCCCUCUACACUACAUCCAGAGAUGGGCCAGGUCAGCGGGAUUAGCUUCCUGUCCAGAACCACCUGCAUUUGCACAGCUUUGUCUUCAGGGAGAGAGCCCUUCUGGUAUCGAGCAUCUAAGUUUCUCGUGUAGCUCUCAGCCGGAAGUUUCAUCUGCAGCUCUGAGAACUCGGGAUUACCACACGGAUGUUGUAAAACACGGGUUUGUCCUGACCAAGGAGGAAAGACAGACCAUUUAGCUCCUGAGAAGGUGUCAGGCUGUUAAGAAGACCCAAAUCCCCACUGGAGGCUGUGCUGGACUGGACUGUAAGCCACAUGAUGUGCCUCCAGGGUAUGACAAAGUCAACCUGAAAACCGGAUUUAGUUCCAAGUUGGAGGUUCUCUACCCACAGAUAGGUGGUUUUAACUGGUCUGGCAUCAACUCAGCAUCUCCCUUCUCUAAAGCUCCCUGAGUGAUUCUCCGGCAAGCCAAAGCUAAGGAGUGCUGAUCUAGUCCAGCCCUUUAACACAGAGUAGGUCGGGAAAGGAGCCCAGGGGCCAGAGACGUGCUCAAGACCACUCGCCGGGGAGUGUUGCUACUGAGUGUGUGUGCUUCCUACUGGAUCCUCUGCAUGCCGGGAAGGGACAGGGACGGGAGGGGUCACCUGUUAGAAGAGACAGGCCAUCCGUAGUGCAGGGGAGGCAUUUAGUCUUGCCCAGUACCUGCUCUAACCAUCGCAUCAUGUGAAAUUGAUCCUUAGAGGGCACGAUCACUAUUGUGAGCUGGAAUCAGGUGAGACUCAUGACAGGAAACAGCCUGCUGUCAUUAGUUAGGAUGAAAUGAAAAGCCA